Molecule: ribosomal RNA, 65 nt
Filed under: Planococcus glaciei CHR43
Lineage: Bacteria; Bacillati; Bacillota; Bacilli; Caryophanales; Caryophanaceae
Description: Planomicrobium glaciei CHR43 partial 23S ribosomal RNA
Source: RNAcentral
GUUCGGGGUGGAAGCGUGGCGACACGUGCAGCUGACGAAUACUAAUCGAUCGAGGACUUAACCAA